CCUACGGGAGGCAGCAGUGGGGGAUAUUGCACAAUGGGGGAAACCCUGAUGCAGCGACGCCGCGUGAGCGAUGAAGUAUCUCGGUAUGUAAAGCUCUAUCAGCAGGGAAGAAAAUGACGGUACCUGACUAAGAAGCCCCGGCUAACUGCGUGCCAGCAGCCGCGGUAAUACGUAGGGGGCAAGCGUUAUCCGGAUUUACUGGGUGUAAAGGGAGCGUAGACGGCAGUGCAAGUCUGAAGUGAAAGGCAGGGCUCAACCCUUGGACUGCUUUGGAAACUGUGCUGC
RNAcentral lists this ribosomal RNA (285 nucleotides) under uncultured bacterium. RNAcentral describes it as "partial 16S ribosomal RNA". It matches the Rfam family "Bacterial small subunit ribosomal RNA", at positions 338 to 641 of the family's 1533-position model. The record is from RNAcentral.